Molecule: long non-coding RNA, 515 nt
Organism: Gossypium arboreum
Lineage: Eukaryota; Viridiplantae; Streptophyta; Magnoliopsida; Malvales; Malvaceae
Exons: 3
Source: RefSeq, a predicted model, not a curated record
UAAUUACUAUUGUUUUUUUUUUCUUUUUACAUUUCUUCAUUUUUUUUCUUCUUUUCUCUCUAUAUAUAUUUUUUUUCCUUAGCAAAGUCAUGUAGAGGGAGAGAGAUUUGAGUGAAUUCUCACCAUUUUUUUCAUCUUUCAAUUCUAAAAAAAGUUAAAGAGGGUGGUGAAUCUUCUAAAGCUAAGGGUAAAGGCAAAGUGAUGGAGAGCUAGGCAAGAAACUUUGUAGGUGUUCUUCCAUCAAGAUUUAUAGACUUUUGUUCGUGUUCGAGGAACGAGGAACAUCAUCGACGAGAGACUCCUAACAUCACAUAUUCAGAGUACAAUACCUUAUCUAUUAGUGGGUAUUGUAUUCCUAAGGCCUUGUAUUUUUUUGUAGAUCUAUAACUCAUUUAUUAUUUUUGUUAUUUUCACUAUUUUGAUAUACGAUGAUAUUGGAGCUUCACAUAUUUUGUAUAACUACUUUUAUUACUAUUUUUAGUAUAACUAUGUAUGUUAUUUUCUCUAAUAUAAAA